ACAAAGGAGAGGUUCAGGCAGAGCAGCCUUCCAUGCUAUAACAGACCUUCACUCUGUGUGCAGGUAAAGUUGGGUUUCCUUUUACGGUCCCCUACUCUGCAACUAAGUUUGCCUUGGAUGGAUUUUUCAGCUCCCUGAGGCAGGAAUUCCACAUUCAGAACAUUAAUGUUUCCAUCACUCUCUGCAUCCUUGGCUUCAUCGACACUGAACGCGCACUGCACGCCGCCGCGGACGUGCUGCUCGUGCCCGCGGCGCCGCGGGCCGAGUGCGCGCUGGAGAUCCUGAAGGGCGGCGCGCUCCGGUACCGGGAGCUCUAUUACCGGUACGGCUCGACCCGACUGCCGCUGCUGCUGCGCGACUGCGCCGCGGAGCUGCUGGAGAGCAUGGUGCGCAGCCGGUACCGCCUGGACCGCAUCGGACCCGGCCAGCGCCGCCAGAGCCCCGCGGACGGAGCUGCGGGUUCGCCUCACCGGUAGCGCAGGUUCCCGGUGCAACACCCUCCUCUGCCGGCGGACACCGGUCCUGCCUCCGUGCCGUGGGGCUGGAUGGGUUGGGGGUUCCCUUCCCGGUAUUCCCGGAGGAGGGAACACGGGAACAAACUAGUUAUGGAAUAAAAGUCUCUAACCCAACUGUGCGCUCGCUGCGGGGUUUAUCCCUUCUUCUCCACCAGGAUGCCCCUGACGCCUUUCACAGGGAAGCGGCAUCCUUGUGAAAAUCCCUCACUGCUUCAUUUUAAACUACCUUUCAACCUGUUUUUUGCUGGCUUUACGGCCAAAUUAAACGCACUCUGCUACCCAAAUAAAAAUUCCCAAACUUGGUAGAUUAUUACACAAA
Molecule: long non-coding RNA, 834 nt
Organism: Melopsittacus undulatus (budgerigar)
Lineage: Eukaryota; Metazoa; Chordata; Aves; Psittaciformes; Psittaculidae
Exons: 2
Source: RefSeq, a predicted model, not a curated record